AUUGAACGCUGGCGGCAUGCCUUACACAUGCAAGUCGAACGGUAACAGGUCUUCGGAUGCUGACGAGUGGCGAACGGGUGAGUAAUACAUCGGAACGUGCCUAGUAGUGGGGGAUAACUACUCGAAAGAGUGGCUAAUACCGCAUGAGAUCUACGGAUGAAAGCAGGGGAUCGCAAGACCUUGUGCUACUAGAGCGGCCGAUGGCAGAUUAGGUAGUUGGUGGGAUAAAAGCUUACCAAGCCGACGAUCUGUAGCUGGUCUGAGAGGACGAUCAGCCACACUGGGACUGCGAAACGGCCCACACUCCUACGGGAGGCAGCAGUGGGGAAUUUUGGACAAUGGGCGCAAGCCUGAUCCAGCAAUGCCGCGUGAAGGAUGAAGGCCUUCGGGUUGUAAACUGCUUUUGUACGGAACGAAAAGCCCCGGGUUAAUACCCUGGGGUCAUGACGGUACCGUAAGAAUAAGCACCGGCUAACUACGUGCCAGCCGCCGCCGUAA
RNAcentral lists this ribosomal RNA (498 nucleotides) under uncultured bacterium. RNAcentral's name for it is "partial 16S ribosomal RNA". It matches the Rfam family "Bacterial small subunit ribosomal RNA", at positions 30 to 523 of the family's 1533-position model. The record is from RNAcentral.